This 203-nucleotide unclassified non-coding RNA is filed under the name Hevea brasiliensis (rubber tree). The record is from RNAcentral. Lineage: Eukaryota; Viridiplantae; Streptophyta; Magnoliopsida; Malpighiales; Euphorbiaceae.
AAAGUACAAUCGGAGAUAAGGAGAACAAUGAUGCUUGUGGGAGUGCUAUUGAAAUUGUCAAUGAUCGGGAAAUAAUUCCAAAGAAAAAUUCUGCAGUGAUAAAUGAUAUGGAUGGUGUGGUAACUGGGGUGCCAGUACCAGCAUUGUCUGGAACUGAUGACCAUGAUGCUACUCGGAGUUGUGGAAUUAACGAGGAUAGUGAG